This is a long non-coding RNA of Lineus longissimus, 2207 nucleotides long. RefSeq lists it as uncharacterized. The record is from RefSeq and is a predicted model, not a curated record. The transcript has 3 exons. Lineage: Eukaryota; Metazoa; Nemertea; Pilidiophora; Heteronemertea; Lineidae.
AGGGAUUGAAGAAUGCCAAUCCGCAACAACAGUCUGCCCAGAAGAUUUCAAAGAUGUUUUUUCUUGUCCGGGACAUGGUGACCCUGAUGAUUACACCUCUUGCUGUAAGAAAUAUGGAAAUAGCACCUUACCACUGUCUUACAGCUGUUGUCCAGAGGGAGAGUUCUCUUUUCCGCCAUGGGUAUCACCACUGCUGAUAGCAUUAGGUUCUGUUGCCGGAGUUUUACUUUUCUUGUUCUCAAGCUGUUGCUUCUUGGUUUGCAGUCGCAAAGGCAAUACUGUCGGAAAGGGAUAUCACAUGUUUUAAUUGAAGCGCCAACGAAAACACAAAGAAACCUAUUGUAACAUUCUAUAGCUGGACUAAUCUAUUACUUGGAUAUGUGGAUGUGACUUUGUCCAUAAAAAGCCCAGCCUAGGAACUGUCAUUAGCGUAGUUUAUUAUUAGUCUAUUACUAAAAUACAUGGCUGCAACUUUGACCAAGGAAUGCCCAAGCUCCACAAAUGUCAUCAACAGAGCCCUCUGUCUCUCAAUACACGUAUGUGACAAUGUCCAUGGAACACCUUAACUUCACAACUGUCAUCAGCAUAGCCUGAUGUUCACUACACUAUAUGGAUGUGACAAUGUCCAUGGAACACCUUAACUUCCCAACUGUCAUCAGCAUAGCCCGAUGUUCACUACACUAUAUGGAUGUGACAAUGUCCAUGGAACACCUUAACUUCCCAACUGUCAUCAGCAUAGCCUGAUGUUCACUACACUAUAUGGAUGUGACAAUGUCCAUGGAACACCUUAACUUCCCAACUGUCAUCAGCAUAGCCUGAUGUUCACUAAUCUAUAUGGAUGUGACAAUGGUCAUGGAACACCUUAACUUCCCAACUGUCAUCAGCAUAGCCUGAUGUUCACUACACUAUAUGGAUGUGACAAUGUCCAUGGAACACCUUAACUUCCCAACUGUCAUCAGCAUAGCCUGAUGUUCACUACACUAUAUGGAUGUGACAAUGUCCAUGGAACACCUUAACUCCCCAACUGUCAUCAGCAUAGCCGGAUGUUCACUACGCUAUAUGGAUGUGACAAUGUCCAUGGAACACCUUAACUUCCCAACUGUUAUCAGCAUAGCCUGAUGUUCACUACACUACAUGGAUGUGACAAUGUCCAUGGAGCACCUUAACUUCCCAACUGUCAUCAGCAUAGCCCGAUGUUCACUACACUAUAUGGAUGUGACAAUGUCCAUGGAACACCUUAACUUCACAACUGUCAUCAGCAUAGCCUGAUGUUCACUACACUAUAUGGAUGUGACAAUGGACGUGGAUUGCCUAGGCACCUAAACUGUCCUCAGUGGCCUCAUAUCUACUAAACUGACCAUGGGUCUAGAUACAAGGCAAGGCCACGCAUAUAGCUAAAGAGCCAAGACAUGCAUACUUAGGCCCCUCAGUUAUGCGCAUGGCCUCGCAUCUACUCCAAUAUGGAUGUGCCUUUGUUGAUGGAAUCACUCUCCCCCCCCCCCCCCCAACUUUACUGUCAUCAGCCUGGUGAAAGAGUUUACUUCAAUACAAGGAUGAUUACUCCAAUACAACAAAGAACAAAAGCACUAUCAUUGACAUGAUGUCUCGGAUGAAAAGAAUUUGUUAAGAUCAAAUGUGGUUGAUAUAAAUGUAUUUCAAAAUUUUAUCACACAAACAAAAAGAUAGGACUUGGCCAAUGCACAUAGGAUUUUGAUAACAACUGUUAGGUUAAUUUAGUUUUUACAGUAGACAGACAAUACUUUGUAAUGUCAAAUCCCCUCUAGCUCGCUGUCAUACUAUAGCAAUGGCACUCCUAUUACAAACUAGUUAAGCAAUUCAUCUAAAUCUAAGAUUUCGCUCAAAGAAUUUGAAAAACUCCCGAAUCUUACAAGAAUCAGUUGUGUUAGAAUGGGGUAAAAAUAUUACUGGCUAAUGAGCAUAUCAAACUACAUUAUUUUAGAAACUGAUCUCAUAGAAAUCAAAAUCCAACGAUAACGAUGCCUUACUUCGAUCAAGCAAGUAAAAUUAACCACAUUUCGUGGAGUGCACUCUUAUCAGAAAAUAACCUGUUUUUGUCCAAGAAAUAUUGUCACCACAAAUUGUCCUAUUUUCUUGUCAAACUGAGAUUAGUAAAAUGAAUUGUACAGAGUACAUAUGUAUAUGUAUUCAUCAUUUAUCAUUAGUUCUUCAAUUAAUGGACCAUCACA